CAGUAGCCACGGUAAUACAGAGGGUGCGAGCGUUAAUCGGAUUUACUGGGCGUAAAGCGCACGUAGGCGGACUUUUAAGUCAGGGGUGAAAUCCCGGGGCUCAACCCCGGAACUGCCUUUGAUACUGGAAGUCUUGAGUAUGGUAGAGGUGAGUGGAAUUCCGAGUGUAGAGGUGAAAUUCGUAGAUAUUCGGAGGAACACCAGUGGCGAAGGCAGCUGGCUACACAACUAUUGACGCUGAGGCACGAAAGCGUGGGGAUCAAACAGGAUUAGAUACCCCUGUAGUCCCUGUCUCUUAUAC
RNAcentral lists this ribosomal RNA (301 nucleotides) under uncultured bacterium. RNAcentral describes it as "partial 16S ribosomal RNA". It matches the Rfam family "Bacterial small subunit ribosomal RNA", at positions 509 to 807 of the family's 1533-position model. The record is from RNAcentral.